UACGAAGGGUGCAAACGUUGCUCGGAAUUAUUGGGCGUAAAGCGCACGUAGGCGGCUAUCUAAGUCGGAUGUGAAAUCCCUCGGCUUAACCAAGGAAGUGCACCCGAAACUGGAUAGCUUGAGUACAGAAGAGGAUCGCGGAAUUCCCGGUGUAGCGGUGAAAUGCGUAGAGAUCGGGAAGAACACCGGUGGCGAAAGCGCUCUGCUGGGCCGACACUGACACUGAGAGACGAAAGCUAGGGGAGCGAAUGGG
Molecule: ribosomal RNA, 253 nt
Filed under: uncultured bacterium
Lineage: Bacteria
Description: partial 16S ribosomal RNA
Rfam family: Bacterial small subunit ribosomal RNA
Source: RNAcentral